UGCCAGCAGCCGCGGUAAUACGAAGGGGGCUAGCGUUGCUCGGAAUCACUGGGCGUAAAGGGCGCGUAGGCGGACAUUUAAGUCAGGGGUGAAAGCCCAGAGCUCAACUCUGGAAUUGCCUUUGAUACUGGGUGUCUCGAGUCUGGUAGAGGUUGGUGGAACUGCGAGUGUAGAGGUGAAAUUCGUAGAUAUUCGCAAGAACACCGGUGGCGAAGGCGGCCAACUGGACCAGCACUGACGCUGAGGCUCGAAAGCUUGGGGAGCAAACAGGAUUAGAUA
This 279-nucleotide ribosomal RNA is filed under the name uncultured bacterium. RNAcentral's name for it is "partial 16S ribosomal RNA". It matches the Rfam family "Bacterial small subunit ribosomal RNA", at positions 506 to 784 of the family's 1533-position model. The record is from RNAcentral.